RNAcentral lists this small nuclear RNA (20 nucleotides) under Arabidopsis thaliana (thale cress). RNAcentral's name for it is "snRNA_17155". Lineage: Eukaryota; Viridiplantae; Streptophyta; Magnoliopsida; Brassicales; Brassicaceae. The record is from RNAcentral.
GCUCGUUUGAUUCUGAUUUU